UAUGGUUCCUUAGAUCGCACUUACUACUUGGAUAACUGUGGUAAUUCUAGAGCUAAUACAUGCGCAGAGCCCCAACCCUCGUGGAAGGGGCGCUUUUAUUAGAUCAAAGCCAAUCGAGUUUCGGCUCGUUUCUUUGGUGACUCUGAAUAACUUUGCUGAUCGCAUGGUCUUGUACCGGCGACGUAUCUUUCAAGUGUCUGCCUUAUCAACUUUCGAUGGUGCGUUAUGCGCCUACCAUGGUUGUAACGGGUAACGGGGAAUUAGGGUUCGAUUCCGGAGAGGGAGCCUGAGAAACGGCUACCACA
RNAcentral lists this ribosomal RNA (305 nucleotides) under uncultured eukaryote. Its description in RNAcentral is "SSU rRNA". It matches the Rfam family "Eukaryotic small subunit ribosomal RNA", at positions 111 to 414 of the family's 1831-position model. The record is from RNAcentral.